This 67-nucleotide transfer RNA is filed under the name Pseudoclavellaria amerinae. RNAcentral describes it as "tRNA-Arg". The record is from RNAcentral. Lineage: Eukaryota; Metazoa; Arthropoda; Insecta; Hymenoptera; Cimbicidae.
AAAUCUGAAAUAAAAAAUUAUAUUCAGUUUCGACCUGAAAUUUAAGUUAACAAUUAACUCUGAUUUA